UCGAAUGUAUCGAUAUAUCGACACGAUGGACUGCGCGAGAACGCUUUUAGCGUAGUCAGUCACUGAAAAUGAUAAUAACUAGCCGACUUCGCUAGUUGACGAUCGUAAGUCUCUCUUAAUGAGGUUAAUGGGAGUCACAACCAGUCAGUUUUUCUUUGGGUUUCACUGGUUCGCUGGUGUAGCGAUCGCCAGGCACGGCAUAGAAAUAGUUGGAACGAACGUUUUUCAUGCGCGACGAAAGAAAAGUCGAGUCAAGCUCUGUACAUAACUACAAAAUUGUUCAGAUCUGUUCUUAUUCCCAGACGAAAUCGUACGGAACCGCGUUGUUGGCUCCUAUCCAGGGACUUCCUUUUGUUCCGACGAAUUAUCGCACGGUGCCGUGACUUAUCGUUUGAAACGCGCGCGCCCUGUGCAUGUAAAUGUUGACAGAGGCUGGAGCGGGAAGAGAAACAACC
Molecule: unclassified non-coding RNA, 455 nt
Filed under: Bombus terrestris (buff-tailed bumblebee)
Lineage: Eukaryota; Metazoa; Arthropoda; Insecta; Hymenoptera; Apidae
Description: misc RNA ENSBTSG00005025954.1
Source: RNAcentral